RNAcentral lists this long non-coding RNA (2639 nucleotides) under Malus domestica (apple). Its description in RNAcentral is "long non-coding RNA (MDOM_LNC008949)". The record is from RNAcentral. Lineage: Eukaryota; Viridiplantae; Streptophyta; Magnoliopsida; Rosales; Rosaceae.
UAUAAUAAACAUGUAAAUUCAUUAUCACAUUAAUGCUAGGGACUUGAAUCAAAAUUUUAGAACUAAUAUAAGGUCUUAGUAUAUGAACAGUAAGAACUAGGGACCGGAUACUAAUUUUUUCAUUUUAUAUUUAAUUUCUAUAGGGUCUAUAUUAAUAUUUAACAUAGUAUGAAGAGCUUUAUCCUCUAAAAAUGUGGUUAUGUGUUUAAUUUUCCUUAUUAGUUAGUGCCACAAGCAGGGGAGUGGACAGGUAUAGCAUACCAGCAUGGAAGUGGGUUUGCAUUUUACAGUAUCUUAAAUAUUAUUUUAUUAUUAUCGUUAAUGAUUUAGCACUAGAUGUUAUCAUUUUUUUAUAUAUAUAUAUAAUAGUGGAAGAGAGGGAUCAAACGUAUAAAAAUGAAUACUCUUAAUUAUUACUCGAGUUACAAUUUCUUGCAUUCGGUUAUCUAUGCUUCUAAAAUCAACCUUAUCAUUUUUUGUUAAGACAAGAAAGACUUUGUCACAACGGUGUAGUGUAAGCCAAAAACCCACAUAUGCCUAAGUUAAACUUAAUAAAGGAGAAUAAAACACAAUUACCUUUUUUUAUGCAUGAAAAUGAACAUGCCUUUAUAUAGUGCUAGCCAUGGACUUGUGAAUGAUUCAUUAGGGCACGUGUGACACUCCCUAAGUGGUUGGUUAACACACCAUAUUAUCCGACCCCUUUAGCCAACAAUGAUUGAUUAUGGGAUACGUGAUGAAUGGCAUCAAUUGAGAGUCUUGUUAAGGGACAACUCUUAACUAGCGUUGGAGAACAUGACAUAUGUUUGAGCAAUGAUUAUCCCUUGAAGAUCAUGUUGGUUCUUUCCUUGCAUGGCCCUGCUGGGCAAAUCUCUUAUGCGAGCUCUUUUGGACUUGUGGAUGUCAUUUGGGUUAUAUCAUUAAGCUUGCUGAGUGAGAGUGGUCUAUUGCUUUGGUUUACAUGAGUUCAUCACGUGAGGCGUGGAGAACGCCUAGUCCCGGCAGGGGUGUCACCUCUACUGAAACCUCUGCUGGCGUGAUUUAUGGGAAGACAUCUCUUCUCGCAUUUAAUAUUCAACUCGCAUAAAAGACUCAAGUGUUGGCAUAUCCGUAAGAGUAAUUUUGUCAAUUGAGUCUGCUUCGGCACAUUCAACGUCCCCUCUGAACCGAUGAGAUUUGGUUGCGACAGUAGGCCCCUAGACAAUCUUUGAAAUCCCACUGAUAGACAAAUUCAGCUCUUGCGCUGCCAGACAAAGCUUGUCUCAUUAUCACAUAUGAGGGUGCCUAAACUGUUUUUUAUCACGGGGAUGACUUUCUUGGCUAUAUUUUCUUCUUUUAAAAUUGUAUCAUGGAGCCCCAAAACCUAACUAGUUAGGGCAUGACAAACUGAUCUAGGGUUUAAUAUAAAUGAAAUGGAAAAUCAUCCAUAUGGAAUAGAAAAAGAGAAAAAAAAACAUGAAAAAGACAAAAUCAGCCGCACCGCAGACUAAUUAUUAUCGAAUCGAAUAUAUGUAUGUAAGUGCCUGAUGCAGAAAAUAAAUUAAUCUCUGAAAUUGUAGGGUACCUACGGUUGGUAAGGGCCCUUAACUUAAACACUAAGACGAACAAAUUAAGCUAAAUUUUAAGCGACAUCUUGCUGGAAUCCUGUUCUGGGUCAAUAGAAGGAAGACUUCUUUGCAUAAAUAUAUGUAUUAUUUUCCUGAUUCUUUCUUCAAGCAUAAUGACUAAAAUUUAAUCCUCACUCUUUUUUUGUUUUUUGGUAAAACCUUCCCGAAUAAAGGAAAAGAUUUUAUUCCAAACAAUAUAUUACAAACAGCGGCCCGCUAACAAAAUAAGACCAGAAACACAAAUGGACCUCCCAGCUAACCAAAAAAGCUCAACCAAGAGCCUAACACUAUAGACAGAACAAAAGAAACUUCUCGACCCCAGCAUACACCACCGUAAUAGUGUUUCACGAUCAACUUAGAACACUUCCUCCAACAAAUGCCAAUAAUCAAUCAAGCAGCUCCGCAAAAACCAGCCACAAAAGCCGCCCCUAUCUUAGCCAGAAAUUGGAAGAAGCCUGCCAUGAACAACACUGCCAUCGAAGGCAGACAAAGAGAAGGAGGUGGUGUUUUAAACAAUGUGAGCUGAUGUGCCCACCGGAGCUCUACGCACCCUCUCGAAUGGUCGCAACAAAUUGCGAUGAAAACUUACUGCAAAUUGAAAUGAAAGUGGUUGGGGAAGACAGACGUCCAAGAGGAGAGAAAGUUUGGGUAAAGUAGGAAAUACAUAUGGGGGAAAAGUUAGCAUAAGUACUGAAAAGGAGAAACAAAGAACAAAAGGAAAAGUUUUCCUCCGACCCCCGUCACAGCGCGAGCCGGUGACAACGGAUUUAUACGAUGGGGAACUCACUCACACAAUCAGUGGGAAAGACUCUUAGGAAAAGAAAAAGUCUCACUUACUAAUCCGUAAUCAAAUUGAGAUAAAUUGAAUUGAGGAGGAAUUGGAUUGAGGUGGAAUCAGGAUCAGAUUUAUGUUAAAGUUAUUUACUAAAACUGUCUAGAAUCGGAGUAGGAAUGAUGUUGAGUCCAUAUAAGUUGUUUACUAAUUCAGUUCAAUCGAAAUAAAAACUAGGCUGGUUACUAUAUUGCCCUUACAUA